UUGAAAUAAACCUGAUGAGUUGCUGCUGGUUCUCUAGGGAACAUGUGCACACUUGUCAUUUUUAUAUUUCCACCUGUGCACUUUUUGUAGACUUGGAUAUCUUUCUGAAUGCUUUUUUGUAGCAUGUCAGGUUUGAGGAUUGACUUUAUUGUCUGUCUUUACAUUUCCAGGUCUAUGUUCCUUCAAUAUACCCUAAUGUAUGUUAUAGAAUGUAGUAAGUGGGCCUUUGUGCCUAUAAACCUUAUA
Molecule: unclassified non-coding RNA, 246 nt
Filed under: uncultured Cortinarius
Lineage: Eukaryota; Fungi; Basidiomycota; Agaricomycetes; Agaricales; Cortinariaceae
Description: sequence contains ITS1
Source: RNAcentral